UGCAUGUCUAAGUACAUGCCGUAUUAAGGCGAAACCGCGAAUGGCUCAUUAAAUCAGUUAUGGUUCCUUGGAUCGUACCUUACUACUUGGAUAACUGUGGCAAUUCUAGAGCUAAUACAUGCAGCAGAGCUCCGACCCUCUGGGGACGAGCGCUUUUAUUAGACCAAAACCAAUCGGACCUCGUGUCCGUAUCGUGUGGUGACUCUGUAUAACUUUGGGCUGAUCGCACGGGCUCGUCCCGGCGACGUAUCUUUCAAGUGUCUGCCUUAUCAACUGUCGAUGGUAGGUUACGCGCCUACCAUGGUCGUAACGGGUGACGGGGAAUCAGGGUUCGAUUCCGGAGAGGGAGCCUGAGAAACGGCUACCACAUCCAAGGAAGGCAGCAGGAGCAGGCGCGCAAAUUACCCACUCCCAGAACGGGGAGGUAGUGACGAAAAAUAACAAUACGGGACUCUUUUGAGACCCCGUAAUUGGAAUGAGUACACUCUAAAUCCUUUAACGAGGAUCAAUUGGAGGGCAAGUCUGGUGCCAGCAGCCGCGGUAAUUCCAGCUCCAAUAGCGUAUAUUAAAGUUGUUGCGGUUAAAAAGCUCGUAGUUGGAUCUCAGUUCCAGACGGGUGGUCCGCCUACCGGUGGUUACUGCCUGUUCUGAACAGCCAGCCGGUUUCCUUUGAUGAUCUUCACCGGUUGUCUUGGGUGACCGGCAAGUUUACUUUGAAAAAAUUAGAGUGCUCAAAGCAGGCGUGACGCCUGAAUAAUGGUGCAUGGAAUAAUGGAAUAGGACCUCGGUUCUAUUUUGUUGGUUUUCGGAAUACGAGGUAAUGAUUAAGAGGGACAGACGGGGGCAUUCGUAUUGCGACGCUAGAGGUGAAA
Molecule: ribosomal RNA, 872 nt
Filed under: Stegodyphus sp. JCS-2006
Lineage: Eukaryota; Metazoa; Arthropoda; Arachnida; Araneae; Eresidae
Description: SSU rRNA
Rfam family: Eukaryotic small subunit ribosomal RNA
Source: RNAcentral